GCGAACGGGUGAGUAACACGUGGGCAACCUGCCCAAAAGAGGGGGAUAACACUUGGAAACAGGUGCUAAUACCGCAUAACCAUAGUUACCGCAUGGGUAACUAUGUAAAAGGUGGCUAUGCUACCGCUUUUGGAUGGGCCCGCGGCGCAUUAGCUAGUUGGUGGGGUAAAGGCUUACCAAGGCAAUGAUGCGUAGCCGAACUGAGAGGUUGAUCGGCCACAUUGGGACUGAGACACGGCCCAAACUCCUACGGGAGGCAGCAGUAGGGAAUCUUCCACAAUGGGCGAAAGCCUGAUGGAGCAACGCCGCGUGGGUGAAGAAGGUCUUCGGAUCGUAAAACCCUGUUGUUAGAGAAGAAAGUGCGUGAGAGUAACUGUUCACGUUUCGACGGUAUCUAACCAGAAAGCCACGGCUAACUACGUGCCAGCAGCCGCGGUAAUACGUAGGUGGCAAGCGUUAUCCGGAUUUAUUGGGCGUAAAGGGAACGCAGGCGGUCUUUUAAGUCUGAUGUGAAAGCCUUCGGCUUAACCGGAGUAGUGCAUUGGAAACUGGGAGACUUGAGUGCAGAAGAGGAGAGUGGAACUCCAUGUGUAGCGGGUGAAAUGCGCAGAUAUAUGGAAGAACACCAGUGGCGAAAGCGGCUCUCUG
This 648-nucleotide ribosomal RNA is filed under the name uncultured bacterium. RNAcentral describes it as "bacterial SSU rRNA". It matches the Rfam family "Bacterial small subunit ribosomal RNA", at positions 98 to 731 of the family's 1533-position model. The record is from RNAcentral.